This 484-nucleotide ribosomal RNA is filed under the name uncultured bacterium. Its description in RNAcentral is "partial 16S ribosomal RNA". It matches the Rfam family "Bacterial small subunit ribosomal RNA", at positions 30 to 507 of the family's 1533-position model. The record is from RNAcentral.
AUUGAACGCUGGCGGCAUGCUUUACACAUGCAAGUCGAACGGCAGCGCGGUCUUCGCCCUGGCUGCCAGUGGCCAACUGGUGAGCAGUUCAUGAGAACGUCCCCAGUUACUGGUGCUAGCGCGGCGACGGACGGAUUAUUACGCCAUUCGACCUUACGGUCUAAGCGGGGGACCGGAAGACCUUGCGCCAUUGCACCAGCCGAUGUCGGGAUGUCGGGUUGGUGGGGUAAAGGCUUACCAGGGCGACGAUCCGUAGCUGGUUUGAGAGGACGAGCAGCUAAACUGGGACUGAGACACGGCCCAGACUCCUACGGGAGGCAGCAGUGGGGAAUUUUGGACAAUGGGGGCAACCCUGAUCCAGCCAUGCCGCGUGCGAGAAGAAGGCCUUCGGGUUGUAAACCGCUUUUGUUCGGGAAGAAAUCCUCUGGGCUAAUACCCCGGGGGGAUGACGGUACCGGAAGAAUAAGCACCGGCUAACUACGUG